Pseudophryne corroboree (corroboree frog) is the source of this 1623-nucleotide long non-coding RNA. RefSeq lists it as uncharacterized. The transcript has 4 exons. The record is from RefSeq and is a predicted model, not a curated record. NCBI's taxonomy places the organism in Eukaryota, Metazoa, Chordata, Amphibia, Anura, Myobatrachidae.
CUUUUAUUUUAUAUUAUAUUUUACAGUUACCAACUCACCUUCUAUUUUUUCCAAUUCUCCACUAUCACCCAUACAUCAGACAUCUAAAGUUGCUGCAGCACAACAAACAAAAGAACAGGCUGAGUGUCAGGAGCUGUGAUGGUGGGUGCCUUCUUGGAUCCUUGAUCAGCAAUGAAAGAGGGAGCCUGCCUGGUCUUCCUGGUCUUUUGUACCUCCCAGAUGUUGUUGCCGGAUGGCAUUAAAUGUCUAAGCAGUUGUCCAAGGUGAAGAUUCUGGCUUUGCCCAAGGCCAGGGAAUGGCCCACUAACGCGUUUCACUGACUUUUGGCAGCUUUGCCCACUGGCCCAUUAUUUGGGAGUAUGCGAUCCAUACUGAAUGAGGCCCUUAGCCCUAUCACUAGGAACUAGUCUUUCUUUUUCCUCUAAUGGCGCUAGUUCUCCUGAAUUAUGGGCAGAAUAUUGACUUAUACCAUAAAAUUGCUGCUUCGACCUUCUGUAGCUGACAAAGGCACUUUAACAUUACUGUACUGUAUCUCCAAUUUUGCAUCUUGUUAAAACAGCGCCCUGCACCAUAUAUCUACGUAACGCUUCCUUUUCUGGACACUGAGUAUAAUGAACUCCCAAAAAGCAAUGGACCCGAUCAUUCAUCAUCUAAACUAGGCACAGGCGUAUAAAGCUGCAUAUGUACUGACAGUAAAAUGUCACAGUUUAGGAUUCUCCUGCUCAGUAGUUCUAGUCUCUGCAGAUUGCAAAAGUAUUUUAUCUUGAGUUGGAAUUUUAACUGAAAAUGAUCAUUAUGAUAGUUAGUUUAUGAGGCUGUUUCGCAAAUGAAGCCUCAGUAUGUUUCUCAUUUAAAAUGUGUUUUAUUCUCUGUAACAAUAAUAGAGAUCCCAUCAGCAUUUGCGCUACAGGAAAACUGUUAAUGGGAUCCGUUUCAAUGAAAAAGUCAAAUUCGUAAUAACUGCUGUCAAACACCGUGUUCUAACAACUAGAACUGAUUCCUGAGACAUCGAAGGCUUUAUAAACCUGUAUAAUAACAUGGUGUGUGUUUGUCAUAAAAAUAAAUCUGGGACUUCCGCUACUACUUGGGUGGACAUAGAUUUGUGGGGGUUUUUGGAAAGAAAAUAUAUCCGUCGUGACUUGCACAUUUGGUUCUUUGUUUGAUGACUCCCUAGUAAUUUGCAGCUUGCUGGCUCACUUAUGCUGCUUUCACAUCGCAAACCCUGCUUUUGAAACGUUUUUUUAAACGGUUCUUAAAACGGAUCGGAGCAGUUAAACCCCCUUCACAUCGCAUGUUGUAACUGGUAUAUUACCAUUUCAUUACCGUUUUGGUACCUUUCACACUGAACCCGUUUCUCCCAUAGAAAACAGUGGUUGUCAUUUUAAAUGGACUUUUCUGGCCCACACAUUAUUAAUAAUUAAUUAUGAAUUAAUUAUUAAUAAUUUGGCUAGUUGUACGAUGGAACCCAGCAGCUUCAAGCAUCUUUGCCAUGUUUUUGUAGAUUACUGCAUCCUUCACUGUCCCAGUGAUUUGUCUACAUAUUUCUUCAUCCCUUCUCAUCCUAAGCAGCUCCCUAACCUCCUCAUCACUCCAAUUUGCCAUUUUAAACUGUAUUCUGUAUAA